UCGCUGUUCGCCGCUCUCCCUUCGCUUCCUCCGUCGCAGUCCUGUUUCUUUUCUUGCGCGUGCGUUCAGCUCCUUUGCUCAGCCGCGGAGGUGGAGGGACCACGAGGACUGCGGGCCCUAGGGUCCACAGAUGACAUAUCAGUCGAUAGGCAUGCAUUUACUGUUCGAGGGAAACAAAUAAGGGUGCAGCUUAGGCGAAAAGAAAAUCGUCUUAUUGCCAGUGUCUAAACUCCUAACGACGGAAUGUGUCUCUGAGACUAUGAGUGUGGAUACACGUGUACUUAAAACAGCCCCGCCUGUGUGCAGAGCUCUUGCUGUACGUCAACGCUUUACAGGAGCUAUCGCACUUAAGCCUCAGAACAACUUGAUGAGGUCUGUGAAGUGUCAGACCUCAAGAUGGACAACUGUUUAAUUAGAUACAGCAUCUAGUGUACUACUGAAAUCAUAAUAAGCCUAUACUACAUUACUGAAACUUCUUGGUAGGAACAUGAUGAGUUUCUCCCCACAAAUUCACCCAUCCACAUUCUCUUUUUAUUUUUAUUUAUUUAUUUGAGGAAGAUUGGCCCUGAGCUAACAUCUGUUACCAAUCGUCCUGUUUUGCUUGAGGAAGACUGUCACUGAGCUAACAUCUGUGCCAAUCCUCCUUUAUUUUAUGUGAGAUGCUGCCACAGCAUGGCUUGACAUUAUCUUUGUUUUGUCUAGUAACUUUGAUAAUUUCUUUUCCCUGUAGCUAACUGAUACAUUAAAAAACAACUAUAAAAUCCUGUCAGGGCUGGCCCCUGUGGCCUAGUAGUUGGGUUCAUGGGCUCCGCUUUGGUGGCCCCGGCGUUUCACCGGUUCGGAUCCUGGGUGGGGACAUGGCACCGCUCGUUGGGUCAUGCUGAGGCAGUGUCCCACAUACCACAACUAGAAGGACCCACAAGUGAAAAAAUAUGCAAGUAUGUACUGGGGGGGAUUUGGGGAGAAGAAGAAGAAGAAAAAAAAAAACAGAAAAUUGAAGGGUUUGAAUAAAAUAAACUUUACCUUGAGUAAAAAAACUUUUAAAAAUUACAACUCAUGACUUUCUCAGAGACUUGGGAUAAGCUUUGUCCUGGAAAUUGAAGAGGACCAGGAAGCAGGAAUCUAUUAACCUUCAUUUCUUAUUUAUUUUUAGUAAACGGAAGUAAAAUUGAGACCCUCUGGUCUCUAGGAGAUAUGAGUGAGGAUGUGUGACCAGUUCUCUAUGACAGCUGAGCCUCAUGUUACAUUUCUAUUCUUAAUAUAUAAAAAUUAUUUCUUGUAGAACAAAUCUAUAGGGAAAUAAGGAAAAUAAAAUACAGCACAUUCUCUUUUGGCAAAGAAAUGCUUAUGUGUUUAAAACAAAUUAACUUUUUAAGGCAGCUCUGAAGAAGUAAUUUAUUUUAAAUAGGUGAACAGUUUACAGCUCUUGUGGGAACACUUUUUCCUGACUUUUCUUCAUCAUAGGAUUAGGCCCUAUGUUUUUAAUUUAAGUCCUUUAAUUUUUGCUGUUAACAUUUAAUUUACUUGAUGACCCCAUACUGUUAACUUUUGACCCAGUGAACUCAGGAUGGUAUAUACAGACCAUAUACCUAAUUUUAAAGAAACUCUUAAAGGAAAAUAAGAGGUUUGAUGUGAAACAGAUUAAAUUCAUUCAGCUUUCCAUGUAGGGAAGUAUCAUACAUACUUAAUCAAAGAACUUUUUUCUUCUUUGGGAGGAUGCAUUUUUAUAAGCAUGGUAUUUUUUUACAAUUAGAUGUUUAUGCCAUUGGCAAAACAUUCCAAAGCUGAUGUGACUCUAACUGCAAUACUUUUAAUAAACUGCAAAACUACUAACAUAGUAUGGUAUGUACCAAACCUUUUCCUGACAAGAAAUUCUUGUACCAUAUGGCUAAAUCUAAUGAUCCCCCCAUCUACCCUUAUUUAUACUCAAAUUUCCUUUCCUUUUAUAGGAAUUGAAAUUCCUAAAGAGUUUAAUCCUUUAGAUGUAAAAACUGUUAGGACAUACAGUUAAUUAUGAUAAAGUUCAAAGCUGCUUCUAAGUCAUUCAAUGUAAGAUACAUAACUUUUAUUUGUCCUUCAAACUAGACCUGUGGACUCACUUUUGAACAUUUCUCCCUAAUUAUAAAACACACGUGCAUUAAAGAAAAUAGAAAAAAAAUAAGGAAUGAUUGGAAGGCAUUGCUUCUGAAGUCCCCUUAACAAUAUACCACUUUCUUCCUUCUUCCCAGUUGACAAAGGAAGGCUCUGUCUAGAAUGACUCUUUAGUCCCUUACUUGCUUGUAGAAUACAAUAGUAGUAUAAUUAACCAGGAUAGAGACAUACGGAGGAAGAAUAGGGCUUUUGGGUGUGUGUGUUUGUGUGUCUAAGGGUGUGGGAUGGAAAAACUGGAAAAGGGGAGGAAGAUGAGACGCCCAAUGAGGACAUACUGAAUAUGGAAGAUUAAGUGCCAAUGGGAUAGCUUUGUAGAGAUGUUCGGUAGGGAGCACAACAUAUAUGUCUGAGGCUUAGAAAGGCCUGGGCUGGAAGGAGAUAUCACUAAAGAGGUGAUAGUUGAAAUUAUGGAGGAAAUGGAUGCUAUUGCUCAUACAGACUGAAUAUAGUGAGAGGAAAUGAGAACCAACAUUAGUAAAUAGGCAAAGUAAGAGGAGGCAGCAAAAGAACUGAGAAGAAAUAGCAGCCAAUGGGACGGAGGAUUCAGAAGGAAAGAAGUCAGGAGUGUCAAGAUAAAGACAGGUCAAAUAAAUUGAAAAAGAUCAUGGCAUUUGGCAAUUUUGUAAUUAGUAAUGUUUGCCAGAACACUUUCAUUGCAUUGAGGUGGCAGAAUUUUGUUUGUGUUGGGGUGAAAAGUAUAUUAAAAUUGAGAAAGGUUACAAUAGAUUUAUAUUAUUUCAAAGCUCUUCAUUUCUUCUUCAAAAUAGAAAUAAAGGAUGAUAGUUGUGAGGAGGUGGUUACAGAAUCGAGGAGGAGAUUCUACAGUGAAGAGUUUAAUAUAUUUAUAAAAUGUGGGAAAGAGUGAG
Molecule: long non-coding RNA, 3017 nt
Filed under: Equus caballus (horse)
Lineage: Eukaryota; Metazoa; Chordata; Mammalia; Perissodactyla; Equidae
Description: lncRNA (ENSECAG00000048321.1)
Rfam family: Deleted in lymphocytic leukemia 1 conserved region 1 (bases 110-299)
Source: RNAcentral